UACGUAGGGUGCGAGCGUUGUCCGGAAUUAUUGGGCGUAAAGAGCUCGUAGGCGGCUUGUCGCGUCGACUGUGAAAACCCGCGGCUCAACUGCGGGCCUGCAGCCGAUACGGGCAGGCUAGAGUUCGGUAGGGGAGACUGGAAUUCCUGGUGUAGCGGUGAAAUGCGCAGAUAUCAGGAGGAACACCAAUUGCGAAGGCAGCUCGCUGGGACGUGACUGACGCUGAGACGCGAAAGCGUGGGGAGCAAACAGG
Molecule: ribosomal RNA, 253 nt
Filed under: uncultured bacterium
Lineage: Bacteria
Description: partial 16S ribosomal RNA
Rfam family: Bacterial small subunit ribosomal RNA
Source: RNAcentral